Molecule: ribosomal RNA, 1444 nt
Filed under: uncultured organism
Description: partial small subunit ribosomal RNA
Rfam family: Bacterial small subunit ribosomal RNA
Source: RNAcentral
GAACGCUGGCGGCGUGCUUAACACAUGCAAGUCGAACGGAAAGGCCCUGCUUUUGUGGGGUGCUCGAGUGGCGAACGGGUGAGUAACACGUGAGUAACCUGCCCUUGACUUUGGGAUAACUUCAGGAAACUGGGGCUAAUACCGGAUAGGAGCUCCUGCUGCAUGGUGGGGGUUGGAAAGUUUCGGCGGUUGGGGAUGGACUCGCGGCUUAUCAGCUUGUUGGUGGGGUAGUGGCUUACCAAGGCUUUGACGGGUAGCCGGCCUGAGAGGGUGACCGGCCACAUUGGGACUGAGAUACGGCCCAGACUCCUACGGGAGGCAGCAGUGGGGAAUAUUGCACAAUGGGCGGAAGCCUGAUGCAGCAACGCCGCGUGCGGGAUGACGGCCUUCGGGUUGUAAACCGCUUUCGCCUGUGACGAAGCGUGAGUGACGGUAAUGGGUAAAGAAGCACCGGCUAACUACGUGCCAGCAGCCGCGGUGAUACGUAGGGUGCGAGCGUUGUCCGGAUUUAUUGGGCGUAAAGGGCUCGUAGGUGGUUGAUCGCGUCGGAAGUGUAAUCUUGGGGCUUAACCCUGAGCGUGCUUUCGAUACGGGUUGACUUGAGGAAGGUAGGGGAGAAUGGAAUUCCUGGUGGAGCGGUGGAAUGCGCAGAUAUCAGGAGGAACACCAGUGGCGAAGGCGGUUCUCUGGGCCUUUCCUGACGCUGAGGAGCGAAAGCGUGGGGAGCGAACAGGCUUAGAUACCCUGGUAGUCCACGCUGUAAACGGUGGGUACUAGGUGUGGGGUCCAUUCCACGGGUUCCGUGCCGUAGCUAACGCUUUAAGUACCCCGCCUGGGGAGUACGGCCGCAAGGCUAAAACUCAAAGGAAUUGACGGGGCCCCGCACAAGCGGCGGAGCAUGCGGAUUAAUUCGAUGCAACGCGUAGAACCUUACCUGGGUUUGACAUGGAUCGGGAGUGCUCAGAGAUGGGUGUGCCUCUUUUGGGGUCGGUUCACAGGUGGUGCAUGGCUGUCGUCAGCUCGUGUCGUGAGAUGUUGGGUUAAGUCCCGCAACGAGCGCAACCCUUGUUCACUGUUGCCAGCACGUUAUGGUGGGGACUCAGUGGAGACCGCCGGGGUCAACUCGGAGGAAGGUGGGGAUGACGUCAAGUCAUCACGCCCCUUAUGUCCAGGGCUUCACGCAUGCUACAAUGGCUGGUACAGAGAGUGGCGAGCCUGUGAGGGUGAGCGAAUCUCGGAAAGCCGGUCUCAGUUCGGAUUGGGGUCUGCAACUCGACCUCAUGAAGUCGGAGUCGCUAGUAAUCGCAGAUCAGCAACGCUGCGGUGAAUACGUUCCCGGGGCUUGUACACACCGCCCGUCAAGUCAUGAAAGUUGGUAACACCCGAAGCCGGUGGCCUAACCGUUGUGGGGGAGCCGUCGAAGGUGGGACUGGUGAUUAGGACU